Molecule: ribosomal RNA, 164 nt
Filed under: uncultured bacterium
Lineage: Bacteria
Description: partial 16S rRNA
Rfam family: Bacterial small subunit ribosomal RNA
Source: RNAcentral
UAGGGAAUCUUCCACAAUGGGCGAAAGCCUGAUGGAGCAACGCCGCGUGUGUGAUGAAGGGUUUCGGCUCGUAAAACACUGUUGUAAGAGAAGAAUGACAUUGAGAGUAACUGUUCAAUGUGUGACGGUAUCUUACCAGAAAGGNGCGGCUAAAUACGUACCAG